UACGUAGGGGGCAAGCGUUGUCCGGAAUCAUUGGGCGUAAAGAGCGUGUAGGCGGCUUGGUAAGUCCGCUGUGAAAGCCCAGGGCUCAACCCUGGAAAGCCGGUGGAAACUGUCAAGCUUGAGUCCGGAAGAGGCGAGUGGAAUUCCUGGUGUAGCGGUGAAAUGCGCAGAUAUCAGGAAGAACACCCGUGGCUAAGGCGGCUCUCUAGUACGGUACUGACGCUGAGACGCGAAAGCGUGGGGAGCGAACAGG
Molecule: ribosomal RNA, 253 nt
Filed under: uncultured bacterium
Lineage: Bacteria
Description: partial 16S ribosomal RNA
Rfam family: Bacterial small subunit ribosomal RNA
Source: RNAcentral